GAUAAUUAGGGUUUGUCCUCUCUCUGCCUAUAAAUACAAGUGUGGUGAUCCCAUCAAAUUACAUACAUUACAGAGAGGACAUAAACGAGGGAAAGAGAGAGAAACAAAUCCUUGGAGUUGCGCCAGUACACCAAAGUCCGAGGAAGUUCUCUCGGUCUUCCCCAAUUGCUUCCGCUAUGGAUCAUAAAGGCAUAUAUUGAUUUUGAGAUUUCUGAAUCCGAGUACGGAAGAACUAGAGGUCUUUACGAGAGGCUACUGAACAGGACUAAACACCUGAAGGUGUGGAUAAGUUAUGCCAAGUUUGAGGCUUCUGCUAUGGAAGAGGUCCUUCUGACAGUGAAUAUAAGAAAAAGUGCCUUGAGCGAGCCAGAGGUUCAGGUGUAUUUGAAAAAGCCCUUAGCUAUUUUAGAACUUCUGCCCCUGAGGAAAGAGCAAUGCUUUUGGAAGAGUGGUUGAACACGGAAAAAAGUUUUGGUGAGCUUGGUACUGUGGAGUAGGUUACUUCCAAAGAAACUGAAGAAGAGACGGCACAUUGAAACUGAGGAUGGUCCAGCUGGUUAUGAGGAGUCCCAGAAGAAACACAGACCACCAAUCUCAAAAUUUUGGAAGCGGCGUACAAGUGGAAGAAGCAGAAGGUCUGUGGCCAUUUGAUCUUCUUGUUAAUAUUGUCUUUGACAUUUCUGUAUGUAUGUAUAGCAAUUUGCCGAUGUACUAAGCUGCAAAGACGAAUUUUGAAAUUAAUCUGUUUCCACAAUUUUUUGGAUUGAGUUUUUAUUGAUAUGGGAUAAUAGGAAAGUACCUCAACUUUAUCUCUA
Long non-coding RNA from Salvia splendens (bonfire salvia), 815 nucleotides. RefSeq lists it as uncharacterized. The transcript is spliced from 4 exons. NCBI's taxonomy places the organism in Eukaryota, Viridiplantae, Streptophyta, Magnoliopsida, Lamiales, Lamiaceae. The record is from RefSeq and is a predicted model, not a curated record.